GACGGAGGAUGCAAGCGUUAUCCGGAAUGAUUGGGCGUAAAGCGUCCGCAGGUGGCAGUUCAAGUCUGCUGUCAAAGACCGGGGCUUAACUUCGGAAAGGCAGUGGAAACUGAACAGCUAGAGUAUGGUAGGGGCAGAGGGAAUUCCUGGUGUAGCGGUGAAAUGCGCAGAUAUCAGGAGGAACACCGAUGGCGAAGGCAGCUUCCUGGUCCAAUUCUGACGCUGAGGUGCGAAAGCGUGGGUAGCGAACGGG
This 253-nucleotide ribosomal RNA is filed under the name uncultured bacterium. Its description in RNAcentral is "partial 16S ribosomal RNA". It matches the Rfam family "Bacterial small subunit ribosomal RNA", at positions 524 to 776 of the family's 1533-position model. The record is from RNAcentral.